RNAcentral lists this signal recognition particle RNA (265 nucleotides) under Candidatus Coliplasma caballi. RNAcentral describes it as "signal recognition particle sRNA large type". It matches the Rfam family "Bacterial large signal recognition particle RNA". From Rfam's summary of the family: The signal recognition particle (SRP) is a universally conserved ribonucleoprotein involved in the co-translational targeting of proteins to membranes. Archaeal SRP consists of a 7S RNA and homologues of the eukaryotic SRP19 and SRP54 proteins. In most bacteria, the SRP consists of a 4.5S RNA and the Ffh protein (a homologue of the eukaryotic SRP54 protein). Lineage: Bacteria; Bacillati; Bacillota; Clostridia; Eubacteriales. The record is from RNAcentral.
CCAUACUAUCCGGGGAGUCAGCGGUGCCUUGUACCUGCAAUCCGCUCAAGCAGGGGUUAAUAUGCCAAUCUGAGGACAAUGUCUGUGUCGCCGCGUCUUUGGGAAGCCGUUGAGAAAUGGGCCCUGCUCAAUUCGCACCUGCGAACCAUGUCAGGUGGGGAACCAAGCAGCAUUAAGCAGAUCCGCGUCUGUGUUGCAGGAUUCCCUGUUUUGAGGCAGAACAAGGAUUUACGGAUGUAGGCAUUGUUCGAACUUGGCUGUAUGG